Molecule: ribosomal RNA, 253 nt
Filed under: uncultured bacterium
Lineage: Bacteria
Description: partial 16S ribosomal RNA
Rfam family: Bacterial small subunit ribosomal RNA
Source: RNAcentral
UACGUAGGGAGCAAGCGUUGUCCGGAAUCAUUGGGCGUAAAGAGCGUGUAGGCGGCCAGGUAGGUCCGCUGUGAAAACUCGAGGCUCAACCUCGAGAUGUCGGCGGAAACCAUCUGGCUAGAGUCCGGAAGAGGAGAGUGGAAUUCCUGGUGUAGCGGUGAAAUGCGCAGAUAUCAGGAAGAACACCGGUGGCGAAGGCGGCCCACUGGUCCGGUACUGACGCUGAGGUGCGAAAGCGUGGGGAGCAAACAGG